GCAACUCGCCUGCAUGAAGCUGGAAUUGCUAGUAAUCGCGGAUCAGCAAGCCGCGGUGAAUACGUUCCCGGGCCUUGUACACACCGCCCGUCACACCAUGAGAGUCGGGAACACCCGAAGUCCGUAGUCUAACCGCAAGGGGGCGCGGCCGAAGGUGGGUCCGGUAAUUGGGUGAAGUCGUAACAAGGUAAC
RNAcentral lists this ribosomal RNA (192 nucleotides) under uncultured bacterium. Its description in RNAcentral is "partial 16S ribosomal RNA". It matches the Rfam family "Bacterial small subunit ribosomal RNA", at positions 1307 to 1500 of the family's 1533-position model. The record is from RNAcentral.